CAGUCGCGUUUGCUGGGACUCAACCUUGCUUUUGCCUGGUGUACUUCUCAGUAAAUGGGCCAGCAUCAAUUUCGGGCGCCGGAAAAGGAUUUGAGGAAUGUGACAGCUUGCUGUGUUAUAGCCUCUUGUCGUACACGGUGCUUGGGAUUGAGGACUGCAGCACGCCGCAAGGCCGGGUUUUUAACCACGUACGUGCUUAGGAUGUUGGCAUAAUGGCUUUAAGCGACCCGUCUUGAAACACGGACCAAGGAGUCUAACAUGUGUGCGAGUGUU
This 273-nucleotide ribosomal RNA is filed under the name Glomus sp. (unid). It matches the Rfam family "Eukaryotic large subunit ribosomal RNA", at positions 430 to 694 of the family's 3401-position model. The record is from RNAcentral. Lineage: Eukaryota; Fungi; Glomeromycota; Glomeromycetes; Glomerales; Glomeraceae.